UUUAUGGAGAGUUUGAUCCUGGCUCAGGAUGAACGCUGGCGGCGUGCCUAAUACAUGCAAGUCGAGCGAACGGACGAGAAGCUUGCUUCUCUGAUGUUAGCGGCGGACGGGUGAGUAACACGUGGAUAACCUACCUAUAAGACUGGGAUAACUUCGGGAAACCGGAGCUAAUACCGGAUAAUAUUUUGAACCGCAUGGUUCAAAAGUGAAAGACGGUCUUGCUGUCACUUAUAGAUGGAUCCGCGCUGCAUUAGCUAGUUGGUAAGGUAACGGCUUACCAAGGCAACGAUGCAUAGCCGACCUGAGAGGGUGAUCGGCCACACUGGAACUGAGACACGGUCCAGACUCCUACGGGAGGCAGCAGUAGGGAAUCUUCCGCAAUGGGCGAAAGCCUGACGGAGCAACGCCGCGUGAGUGAUGAAGGUCUUCGGAUCGUAAAACUCUGUUAUUAGGGAAGAACAUAUGUGUAAGUAACUGUGCACAUCUUGACGGUACCUAAUCAGAAAGCCACGGCUAACUACGUGCCAGCAGCCGCGGUAAUACGUAGGUGGCAAGCGUUAUCCGGAAUUAUUGGGCGUAAAGCGCGCGUAGGCGGUUUUUUAAGUCUGAUGUGAAAGCCCACGGCUCAACCGUGGAGGGUCAUUGGAAACUGGAAAACUUGAGUGCAGAAGAGGAAAGUGGAAUUCCAUGUGUAGCGGUGAAAUGCGCAGAGAUAUGGAGGAACACCAGUGGCGAAGGCGACUUUCUGGUCUGUAACUGACGCUGAUGUGCGAAAGCGUGGGGAUCAAACAGGAUUAGAUACCCUGGUAGUCCACGCCGUAAACGAUGAGUGCUAAGUGUUAGGGGGUUUCCGCCCCUUAGUGCUGCAGCUAACGCAUUAAGCACUCCGCCUGGGGAGUACGACCGCAAGGUUGAAACUCAAAGGAAUUGACGGGGACCCGCACAAGCGGUGGAGCAUGUGGUUUAAUUCGAAGCAACGCGAAGAACCUUACCAAAUCUUGACAUCC
Molecule: ribosomal RNA, 1007 nt
Filed under: Staphylococcus aureus
Lineage: Bacteria; Bacillati; Bacillota; Bacilli; Caryophanales; Staphylococcaceae
Description: bacterial SSU rRNA
Rfam family: Bacterial small subunit ribosomal RNA
Source: RNAcentral